Molecule: non-coding RNA, 23 nt
Filed under: Arabidopsis thaliana (thale cress)
Lineage: Eukaryota; Viridiplantae; Streptophyta; Magnoliopsida; Brassicales; Brassicaceae
Source: RNAcentral
CAAUUGUGAUUCCGAACAGACCA